UUCCGGUUGAUCCCGCCGGACCUGACUGCUAUCGGAUUGAUACUAAGCCAUGCGAGUCAUUGUAGCAAUACAAGGCAGACGGCUCAGUAACGCGUAGUCAACCUAACCUAUGGACGGGAAUAACCUCGGGAAACUGAGAAUAAUGCCCGAUAGAACACUAUGCCUGGAAUGGUUUGUGUUCCAAAUGAUUUAUCGCCGUAGGAUGGGACUGCGGCUUAUCAGUUUGUUGGUGAGGUAAUGGCCCACCAAGACUAUUACAGGUACGGGCUCUGAGAGGAGUGGCCCGGAGAUGGGUACUGAGACACGGACCCAGGCCCUAUGGGGCGCAGCAGGCGAGAAAACUUUGCAAUGUGCGAAAGCACGACAAGGUUAAUCCGAGUGGUUUCUGCUAAAGGAACCUUUUGUCGGUCCUAGAAACACCGAUGAAUAAGGGGUGGGCAAGUUCUGGUGUCAGCCGCCGCGGUAAAACCAGCACCUCAAGUGGUCAGGAUGAUUAUUGGGCCUAAAGCAUCCGUAGCCUGCUUUGUUAGUUUUCGGUUAAAUCUGUACGCUCAACGUACAGGCUGCCGGGAAUACUGCAAAGCUAGGGAGUGGGAGAGGUAGACGGUACUCGGUAGGAAGGGGUAAAAUCCUUUGAUCUAUUGAUGACCACCUGUGGCGAAGGCGGUCUACCAGAACACGUCCGACGGUGAGGGAUGAAAGCUGGGGGAGCAAACCGGAUUAGAUACCCGGGUAGUCCCAGCUGUAAACCAUGCAAACUCAGUGAUGCAUUGGCUUGUGGCCAAUGCAGUGCUGCAGGGAAGCCGUUAAGUUUGCCGCCUGGGAAGUACGUACGCAAGUAUGAAACUUAAAGGAAUUGGCGGGGGAGCACCACAAGGGGUGAAGCCUGCGGUUCAAUUGGAGUCAACGCCGGG
RNAcentral lists this ribosomal RNA (914 nucleotides) under uncultured archaeon. RNAcentral's name for it is "bacterial SSU rRNA". It matches the Rfam family "Archaeal small subunit ribosomal RNA", at positions 1 to 922 of the family's 1478-position model. The record is from RNAcentral.